GAACUGCGAAUGGCUCAUUAAAUCAGUUAUCGUUUAUUUGAUAGUACCUUACUACUUGGAUAACCGUGGUAAUUCUAGAGCUAAUACAUGCUGACAACCCCAACUUCGGGAGGGGUGUAUUUAUUAGAUAAAAAACCAACGCCCUUCGGGGCUUCUUGGUGAUUCAUGAUAACUUUACGGAUCGCAUGGCCUUGCGCCGGCGACGGUUCAUUCAAAUUUCUGCCCUAUCAACUUUCGAUGGUAAGGUAUUGGCUUACCAUGGUUUCAACGGGUAACGGGGAAUUAGGGUUCGAUUCCGGAGAGGGAGCCUGAGAAACGGCUACCACAUCCAAGGAAGGCAGCAGGCGCGCAAAUUACCCAAUCCCGACACGGGGAGGUAGUGACAAUAAAUACUGAUACAGGGCUCUUUUGGGUCUUGUAAUUGGAAUGAGUACAAUUUAAACCUCUUAACGAGGAACAAUUGGAGGGCAAGUCUGGUGCCAGCAGCCGCGGUAAUUCCAGCUCCAAUAGCGUAUAUUAAAGUUGUUGCAGUUAAAAAGCUCGUAGUUGAACCUUGGGUCUGGCUGGCAGGUCCGCCUCACCGCGUGUACUUGUCCGGCCGGGCCUUCCUUCUGGAGAACCUCAUGCCCUUCACUGGGCGUGUUGGGGACCAGGACUUUUACUUUGAAAAAAUUAGAGUGUUCAAAGCAGGCCUUUGCUCGAAUACGUUAGCAUGGAAUAAUAGAAUAGGACGUGCGGUCCUAUUUUGUUGGUUUCUAGGACCGCCGUAAUGAUUAAUAGGGACAGUCGGGGGCAUCAGUAUUCAAUUGUCAGAGGUGAAAUUCUUGGAUUUAUUGAAGACUAACUACUGCGAAAGCAUUUGCCAAGGAUGUUUUCAUUAAUCAGUGAACGAAAGUUAGGGGAUCGAAGACGAUCAGAUACCGUCGUAGUCUUAACCGUAAACUAUGCCGACUAGGGAUCGGGCGAUGUUCUUU
Molecule: ribosomal RNA, 974 nt
Filed under: Acericola italica
Lineage: Eukaryota; Fungi; Ascomycota; Dothideomycetes; Pleosporales; Phaeosphaeriaceae
Description: SSU rRNA
Rfam family: Eukaryotic small subunit ribosomal RNA
Source: RNAcentral